GGAAGUAAAAGUCGUAACAAGGUCUCCGUUGGUGAACCAGCGGAGGGAUCAUUACCGAGUGUAACUACUCACCAACCCAUGUGAACAUACCUUCUGUUGCUUCGGCAGGUUCGCCCCGGGCGCUCUUCACGCGUGCCCCGGAACCAGGCGCCUGCCGGGGGAUUGAAAUUCUGUCUUUUAUAGAGGAUUAUCUGAGUGGCUCUUGAGCAAAUAAUCAAAACUUUCAACAAUGGAUCUCUUGGUUCUGGCAUCGAUGAAGAACGCAGCGAAAUGCGAUAAGUAAUAUGAAUUGCAGAGUUAAGUGAAUCAUCGAAUCUUUGAACGCACAUUGCGCCCGCCAGUAUUCUGGCGGGCAUGCCUGUCUGAGCGUCAUUUCACCACUCGCCACCGGCUUCAGGGCUGGAAGGCGGCGUUGGGGAUCGGCUCCCGCCCACCUGGGAGGGUGCCGUCCCCUAAAUAUAGUGGCGGUCUCGCUGCGACCUCCUCUGCGUAGUAGUCAUCUUCUCGCAGGCGGAGAGCGGCGCGGUCCAGCCGUGAAAACCCCAACCUUUUAUCAAUGGUUGACCUCAGAUCAGGUAGGAAUACCCGCUGAACUUAAGCAUAUCAAUAAGCGGAGGA
Molecule: ribosomal RNA, 618 nt
Filed under: Clonostachys sp. ATT061
Lineage: Eukaryota; Fungi; Ascomycota; Sordariomycetes; Hypocreales; Bionectriaceae
Description: eukaryotic LSU rRNA
Rfam family: 5.8S ribosomal RNA (bases 219-372)
Source: RNAcentral